UAAUAAGUGUUUUAUGGCACUUUUUUAAAUCCAUAUCCACCUUGUGUGCAAUGUCAGGGUUGGUCUUUUUUGACCAGCCCCAAACAUCAACUAUUAUCUCAACUCUUUGUCUGAAAAAUAUUAUGAAUAAAACAAUUCAAAAUA
This 144-nucleotide unclassified non-coding RNA is filed under the name uncultured Mortierella. Its description in RNAcentral is "sequence contains ITS1". Lineage: Eukaryota; Fungi; Mortierellomycota; Mortierellomycetes; Mortierellales; Mortierellaceae. The record is from RNAcentral.